Aegilops tauschii subsp. strangulata is the source of this 2013-nucleotide long non-coding RNA. RefSeq lists it as uncharacterized. Lineage: Eukaryota; Viridiplantae; Streptophyta; Magnoliopsida; Poales; Poaceae. The record is from RefSeq and is a predicted model, not a curated record.
AACACCAUGUGCAUCCGCCUUCUCUCCUCGAUCCUCGCGUUAGCCCAGGCCGAGCUAUUCCCCCUCGCCGCCGGGGCCGCACCUCAGCCCGCUCGCCGCCCCGUGGCAACUCAACCCCCCAAAUGGAUGCCGCUCAACUAUCUCAUCCAAUAGGACGCCGGCCACGACGUCACGAAGUUGCUGACGUCGCCAAGAAACGGCUGCCUCCGUUGCCGCCCUUCAGCGGCCACCUCGCUGCCGCUCCAAUGCCCACCAUGAGGCAUUGCGGAGGAAGGUGAGCAAGUAGCAGCACUUCGAGGAAGCCAUCAUCAACCUCGCCGCCGCGCUCCACGACCGCUAUGAAGGCGCCUCACCCGCCCUCCGCUAGUCGAUGGCUGUGGAAAGCUGGAAAUUUGCCUGUCCUAUCAAGAUGAGAAUCAACAACAUAAAGUUCUAGAAGGAUUCAAGGACAGGAAAGAUAUCUCCUUUUAUUAUCCAAUUGAUUGAAGAAGUUGGCUUCUCGCCGGCAUAUGAUUUCUUGUACUACAGGAAGAAAUACCCACGUGGCAGAGGCUAUUCUGACAUUGCUUCUGACCAUGAAAUAUGAUUUCUUGUACUACAGGAAGAAAUACCCGCGUGGCAGAGGCUAUUCUGACAUUUCUUCUGACCAUGAAAUAUGAUUUCUUAUACUACAUGACGAAAUACCCGCGUGGCAGAGGCUAUUCUGACAUUGCUUCUGACCAUGAAAUAUUUUGUGUUCAGUUUUCCUGUGAAAGUUAGCAUAGGAAUACAUAAUGUUUCUUCAGAAUGACAGAGCACCAAAUCGAGGUGGUAGGUUGCCAUCAAAUUCCACGGAAUAAAACUGACUUGUGGAUGUGAUUAGUCUCUUACCAGAGUGCAAGUUUAUUCUUUGAUGAAAAAGGUCAGCGUUUGGGAUGCACUGCAUAGCAAGGAUAUGAUGUAGGUUGUAUAGCUAUUCUGUGGACUGACGUGAGGUUGGGGUGCUCGUGCUUGCUUGGUCGGAAGCUUUUCUUUUGACUCGAUUGAUGAAUGAUGAGCACGAGGGCAUCUCUGCACUAGUUACGCCGUAUAUGUACUCCACUACAUAUAGAUAGCUCGCUCAUCGUGUCUUGACAGAAGAAGAACAACUUUGAUCGAUGGAGAUGGAUAUGUUUCUUGUUGGUGCGGUCAGAUUCGUGCCUCGUAUCUUCUCUUGUGUUGCUGCUUGCUUAGGAGUACUAUAUGCCCCGGGACCGCAUCUGCGGGUGCCGUCCAGCAUCCGCGUGCGUGUGCGGUGUGCAGCCUGCCUCGUUCUAAUUUGCCGUGACCGACGCCGGACUGGUGCAUGCUGUCUGCGCCUUAUGCUGGAUUUUGGGACCUAGCUUGCCAUUUCUAGCUCUAGCAGUUUGAAUUUGCGACUCCGUAGUAGAUUGCACGAGUCCCAUGACCCAUCUGGGCCGAGGAUCCAGCCUCAUAUGGGGAUUCCAUGGUUAAUUUCUGCCUGUAGCGAGAUUUCUGCAUCAUCCGUUGUAAAUAUUUAGUUAGGUUGAUGGAAAAAACAAGAUUGUUAUGUUACUCAUCUUUCGAUUUAAAUUUGCAGUUUUUUCAUCGCUGCGAGGGUCAAGUUUUUGACAACCUCCGUCCCUGCGUUCACGGCUUGGCAAGAUGACUGAUCAUUCAUGGAUGUACACCGGUCACACUAGUCGGAAAGACAUGACCAUCGAAUGGUUAACAAAAACCAAGGGGUUUCUAAGAGCCGCAUUUGCAAAUGGCCAUAGGACAACGUGGUGCCCCUGUGCCGGGUGCAACAAUUGGCACAAGAGGACAGAGGAUGGAAUGGGCAAACACUUGCAGAAGAGGGGUUUUACGCCAGAUUAUACGGUGUGGACAUUUCAUGGCAAGUCUGCCCAACGUGCCAUAGCUGAGGUGCUUCGUCGUCGCACCUACGAGUAUGGUACCGGGAUGGAAGACAUGGUAAAAGACUUUGAUGAUGCUCGGGACUCGGACGAUGAGAUGGAGGAAUCUGCAAAGGAC